CGCGGACACAGAUCGCACAGGAAGUAUCGUGGAGACAGAAGGGGUGGCUCCAGACCGCCCUCCCCACCCCCGGCUACAGGCACCCACAUACUCACGUAGCCCACCCAUUGGUUCAGGCCGUGACGUUGGAAUUCCACUACAGUAUUGAAUUAUUUUUGUGCCAAUGAAAACUAUACCCAGACUUCCAGAAGAACUGAAUACGAUGAAACCCAUUGACUUAUAGUGGACUCGUGGUAUUUGUAAGCACGCUGUGGCAAAGCACCACAAUGUUUCAGGAGGCUUGAGAGGUGCACUUCUAACAUCUCCUUGAUCAGGCAGAG
This is a long non-coding RNA of Gallus gallus (chicken), 320 nucleotides long. The record is from Ensembl. Lineage: Eukaryota; Metazoa; Chordata; Aves; Galliformes; Phasianidae.